RNAcentral lists this ribosomal RNA (1398 nucleotides) under Triticum aestivum (bread wheat). RNAcentral describes it as "partial small subunit ribosomal RNA". The record is from RNAcentral. Lineage: Eukaryota; Viridiplantae; Streptophyta; Magnoliopsida; Poales; Poaceae.
AUGGCAGGUGCGAGAUGCUACGCUCUCCUUGUCGUUGCCAUUGUCCUGACGGCCCAGCUAUGCGGAUGCACGGCGUACGUCGGCCGCGAUGGGUUUACCGUGGAGUUCAUCCACCGGGACUCCGUCCAGUCGCCGUUCCACGACCCGUCGCUCACCUCGCACGGCCGCCUACUUGCCGCCGUGCGGCGUUCCGCGGCGCGCGCCUCAGCUCUCGCGCGCUCCUACGCCGGCGGCUCCCCUCACGGCGCCGUGUCGGAGGUCGUCCACGGGCAGUUCGAGUACCUGAUGCACGUCAACGUGGGCACGCCGGCCACCAGGGUGCUCGCCAUCGUCGACACCGGCAGCAACCUCGUCUGGUUUAAGUGCACCAACGUCCGUACCGCAGCGACGACGACUCCAGCAGCAAUCGCCGGUGGCGCGAGCCUUGUGUUCAACCCGUCGUCCUCGUCGACGUUCGGCCGCGUGUACUGCCAGUCCGGCACGUGCCACAAGCUCCCCGGCACCUCCUGCGAUGCCAGCUCCAGAUGCAAGUACGCCCAAUCCUACGUCGACGGCUCGAAGACAACCGGCCUCCUCUCCACCGAGAGUUUGAUCUUCGACGAUGGCCCCGGCGGCUGCGUCGGGUGCCGCCAGCGUCGGCAGCUGCUCGUGCCCAAUUUCAGCUUCGGCUGCUCCACGGCUACGGCCGGCACGUUCCGCGCGGACGGCGUCGUCGGUCUCGGCAGCGGCGACUUCUCCCUCAUCACACAGAUCGGCGCCGGCACCUCGCUCGGCCGGAGGUUCUCCUACUGCCUCGCGCCCUACUACGUCAACGCCUCCUCCCCGCUCAACUUCGGCGCCCGUGCCGCCGUGACGGAGCCGGGCGCGGCGACGACGGCGCUGCUCCGCCCCGACCCGCGCAAGCCGCUCUACACCGUCGUGCUCGAGUCCGUCAGGAUCGGGAACGCGAGGUUUGAGCACCUGUCCAACGUCAUCAUCGACUCCGGCACGACGCUGACGUUCCUGGACAAGGUUCUGCUGGACCCGAUAAUGGAGGAGAUGACACGGCGCAUUCACUUCGUGCGGAAGCGGCCGCCGAACAGGCAGCUGCAGCUCUGCUACAGCGUGCUCGGGCCGAGUGGUAAAUUUUACUUCUACAAGUUUGUCCCGGACUUGACGCUGAAUCUGGCCGUCUUCGCGGAGGCGGUGACGCUGAAGCCGGAGAACCUGUUCGUCGAGGUGCAGAUAGGGACCAUGUGCUUGAUGAUGGCGCCGGUGACGCCGCAGCAGCCGGUGGCCAUCAUUGGGAACAUCGCGCAGCAGAACUUUCACGUCGGCUACGACCUUGACAAGGGCACCGUCACCUUCGCCCCUGCGGACUGCGCGAGAUCCUACCGCUCGUCCUCCGCCUCCGUGUAG